This 253-nucleotide ribosomal RNA is filed under the name uncultured bacterium. RNAcentral's name for it is "partial 16S ribosomal RNA". It matches the Rfam family "Bacterial small subunit ribosomal RNA", at positions 524 to 776 of the family's 1533-position model. The record is from RNAcentral.
UACGGAGGGUGCAAGCGUUGUCCGGAUUUAUUGGGUUUAAAGGGUGCGUAGGCGGCCCUGUAAGUCAGUGGUGAAAUACUGCAGCUUAACUGCAGCAUUGCCAUUGAUACUGUAGGGCUUGAGUACAGAUGAGGUAGGCGGAAUUGAUGGUGUAGCGGUGAAAUGCAUAGAUACCAUCAAGAACACCGAUUGCGAAGGCAGCUUACUAAGUUGUAACUGACGCUGAGGCACGAAAGCGUGGGGAUCGAACAGG